RNAcentral lists this ribosomal RNA (447 nucleotides) under Duckemyia latifrons. RNAcentral's name for it is "partial 16S ribosomal RNA". It matches the Rfam family "Bacterial large subunit ribosomal RNA", at positions 1922 to 2578 of the family's 2925-position model. The record is from RNAcentral. Lineage: Eukaryota; Metazoa; Arthropoda; Insecta; Diptera; Sarcophagidae.
UUUAAAUGGCCGCAGUAUACUAACUGUGCAAAGGUAGCAUAAUCAUUAGUCUUUUAAUUGAAGGCUGGUAUGAAUGGUUGGACGAGAUAUUAACUGUUUCAUAAAAAUUUAUAAUAAAAUUUUAUUUUUUAGUCAAAAAGCUAAAAUAAUAUUAAAAGACGAGAAGACCCUAUAAAUCUUUAUAUUUAGAUUAUUAGAAUUUUGUAGAUUUUUUUUAUUAUAAUAAUUAAUUAUAUUUUAUUGGGGUGAUAUUAAAAUUUAAAAAACUUUUAAUUUUUGAAAUCAUUAAUUUAUGAAGUGUUGAUCCGUUAAUAGCGAUUAAAAAAAUAAGUUACUUUAGGGAUAACAGCGUAAUUUUUUUGGAGAGUUCAUAUCGAUAAAAAAGAUUGCGACCUCGAUGUUGGAUUAAGAUAUAAUUUUAGGUGUAGCCGCUUAAAUUUUAAGUCU